UCAAGUUAUUAAGGGUGUAGGGCGAAUGCCUUGGCACUAGGAGCCGAUGAAGGACGUGAUAAGCUGCGAUAAGCUUGGGGGAGUUGCACGUAAACUGUGAUCCCAAGAUUUCCGAAUGAGGAAACUCACUUAGAGUAAUGUCUAAGUAUCGUAUAGUGAAUACAUAGCUAUGCGAGGGGAACCCGGGGAACUGAAACAUCUAAGUACCCGGAGGAAGAGAAAGAAAUUCGAUUCCGUAAGUAGCGGCGAGCGAACGCGGAACAGGCCAAACCAGUAAAGUUUACUUUAUUGGGGUUGCGGACAUAUCAUAACGAAGAGGCUAUUGUAGACGAAGAGAGUUGGAAAGCUCCGCUAUAAAGUGUAAAAGCCACGUAGUUUAAACGAGAAGACUUCAGAUAUGAUCCAGAGUACCACGGGACACGUGAAACCCUGUGGGAAGCAGGAGGGACCAUCCUCCAAGCCUAAAUACUACCUAGUGACCGAUAGCGUAUAGUACCGUGAGGGAAAGGUGAAAAGAACCCCGGGAGGGGAGUGAAAGAGAACCUGAAACCCUACACUUACAAGCUGUGGGAGCACAUUUCUUGUGUGACCGCGUACUUUUUGUAGAACGGGCCAACGAGUUACGUUACCUAGCAAGGUUAAGCACUUAAGGUGUGGAGCCGUAGCGAAAGCGAGUCUUAACUGGGCGAUUAGUUAGUUGACGUAGACCCGAAACCGGGCGACCUAUCCAUGGGCAGGUUGAAGCGAAAGUAAAAUUUCGUGGAGGACCGAACCCACGAGCGUUGAAAAGCUCGGGGAUGACCUGUGGAUAGCGGUGAAAUUCCAAUCGAGCCCGGAGAUAGCUGGUUCUCUCCGAAAUAGCUUUAGGGCUAGCCUCAAGAUUUAGAGAAACGGGGGUAGAGCACUGAAUGUCCUAGGGGGUAUUGCACUUACCGAAGACUAUCAAACUCCGAAUACCGUAUUCUUAUGCUUGGGAGUCAGACUAUGGGUGAUAAGAUUCAUAGUCAAAAGGGCAACAGCCCAGAUCGUCAGCUAAGGUCCCUAAAUGUACGUUAAGUGGUAAAGGAUGUGGGAUUGCACAGACAACCAGGAUGUUGGCUUAGAAGCAGCCACUCAUUUAAAGAGUGCGUAAUAGCUCACUGGUCGAGUGAUCCUGCGCCGAAAAUUUCCGGGGCUAAAACGUACUACCGAAGCUACGGCAUCAUUUAUGAUGGGUAGGAGAGCUUUCUAUACGGGUUGAAGCAUUACCGUAAGGAGAUGUGGACUGUAUAGAAGUGAGAAUGUUGGCAUGAGUAGCGAGAUGCGGGUGAGAAUCCCGCAGGCCGUAAACCCAAGGUUUCCAGGGGAAGGUUCGUCCGCCCUGGGUUAGUCAGGACCUAAGCCGAGGCCGAAAGGCGUAGGUGAUGGACAACAGGUUGAUAUUCCUGUACCACCAAUAACCGUUUGAGAAAUGGGAUGACACAGAAGGAUAAGCUAACCGCACUGUUGGUUAUGUGCGGGCAAGUAUUGAGGCAGUUCUGAUAGGCAAAUCCGUCAGAAUAAUGCUGGGGUACGAUGCGGAGCGAAAUUUAGUAGCGAAGUAGCUGAUUUCACACUGUCGAGAAAAGUCUCUAUCGAGGUUAAAGGUGCCUGUACCGCAAACCGACACAGGUGGGUGAGGAGAGUAUCCUAAGGCCAGCCAGAGAACUGUUGUUAAGGAACUCGGCAAAAUGACCCCGUAACUUAGGGAGAAGGGGUGCCUUCGAAAGAAGGCCGCAGAGAAUAGGCCCAAGCGACUGUUUACCAAAAACAUAGGUUUCUGCUAAGUCGCAAGACGAUGUAUAGGAGCUGACGCCUGCCCGGUGCUGGAAGGUUAAGGGGAUCUGUUAGAGCAAUCGAAGCAGUGAACUUAAGCCCCAGUAAACGGCGGCCGUAACUAUAACGGUCCUAAGGUAGCGAAAUUCCUUGUCGGGUAAGUUCC
Molecule: ribosomal RNA, 1960 nt
Filed under: human gut metagenome
Description: bacterial LSU rRNA
Rfam family: Bacterial large subunit ribosomal RNA
Source: RNAcentral